Molecule: long non-coding RNA, 524 nt
Organism: Labrus mixtus (cuckoo wrasse)
Lineage: Eukaryota; Metazoa; Chordata; Actinopteri; Labriformes; Labridae
Exons: 3
Source: RefSeq, a predicted model, not a curated record
AGUGGGCGUGCACUGUAGCUGUUCCCACUCAACGUUCUUGAAGCCAAAAUACGCCCCUUAGGGGCGCUUCCAUCUUGCGAUUUUGACGUCAUUUGGAGCCAGAGUCUGCGCAGUAGGGUCCAGGGGGAGGAGCCCUGGUAACACGCCCCGCCCAUUUAGCGUACUGCCCUGAUGACUUACGCAGCCCAGCUACGCUGAAAGCGCUCCGCCGGUCUACGAUGAAGAAAUGUGCAAAGAAGAGAUAAAAGCAGCUGGUCUGACAUCUUCCACAGAGGUGAAGUAACCUAAAAAUGACUCAUUUCAACCUUCGUCUGCACACCUGUUACAGAGGUCAGGCUGGGGUCACAUAGUCUGAAGGAACCUCCUCCUUCUUUCACCUGUGUCAGACACCCUGCUCAGCCACUGUGGUAGAAAUGACCUUACACCAGCAGCUCUCCCAGAUGAAGAGUCCUCUCUGCCAUCACCCAGAGGAGCUGAUCAACGUCUACACAACUGAAGAAGGUGGACAGAGUCUGGAGCUUUGU